GCUAGCCACGGGCUGUGCUACAUGGGCUGCCGUGUUCUGAUUUUUGUUUGGCUUUGGUUUGGGACAUCACCUGAGCAGAGGCCUCAGCAUUUACCCCUGUGCUUGAAUUGAAGCCGUCUUUAAGGGGACCCACAGCCCUUUUGCUGCCUCCUCAGCAUCUCUCUGAUGAGGGCCAAAGAGUCCUGCCAGUCCCAGCUGGAUUAUCACACGGGGCCAGCAUCCUCCACACACUGCAUGUCUCAGCACUGGUCAUGGCUUCCUCGUUCCUUCAUUCUGAGUCUCCCUUAGGUUUCAUCGAAACCCCACAUGGGUGAAGGUUUUACCACAGUGACCUCCUACACAUCACAAACCACUAAGUAUCACCCCAGUUCUCCAAGAAGAGCCUGAAGGGAUGCAAGAUGUUCAGCUCUCUGUUGUCUUUCAGGAGGGCUUGCGAAUCACGUGCGCAUGUAGACACCAUGGGUGUGAGGCCAGGAAUUACAGAGGAGAAGGCAUGAGCAGCGCUCUGAUUUCCUGCACAAAGCAUGGAUUUUCUCAGUGCCAGAUGGAAAUAUGGAUGAUCUGUGAGUCUGUCCAGUGUUGCAGGCCCAGGAAAGCAGAAAGAGGAUGGGAAGAGACUCACCUUGUCACCCAAGGAAGGAACUAAUGUCACCACCUGAAGAUCUACAACAUGUCUGGGAGGAUCCGUGAGCCUGUGGCCACAGCAGAGCACGACUGCAGCAGCAGGGGCUUGCCAAGAAAAACAGAGUUUGACCUGUUUUUUUUGGAGUGGGCGGUACCUGGAUUUACUUUCCACAAGACUGCACAGGUACUGCUUCCACUGUAAACUUAAUAAAGCUAGUAA
Molecule: long non-coding RNA, 844 nt
Organism: Cygnus olor (mute swan)
Lineage: Eukaryota; Metazoa; Chordata; Aves; Anseriformes; Anatidae
Exons: 3
Source: RefSeq, a predicted model, not a curated record